GGACAGCGGGACUGGGGGGCGCCGCAGUGCAGGGUGUACAGCUGCAGAGAAGCCGGGGAUACAGGGAGCCAGCCCGCGUGGAGAGUGACGAGUGACAGGCGCCUUUGUUCCGGGCUUGCAUGGGUGGGACGCGCCCCCUCCUCAGCACUCAGCCCGGCGAGCCUGGCCCUCCCGUCGCCCCUUCUUAAGUGCAUUUGUCCCGGGCUCUCGAUUUUGUUUACUCUUUCCUGCUUACACAGGUACACACACACACCCAGACCUAAACUUUAUAUAAACAGACAUGAACUUAAAGAAACAAAAUCCCCCUAUGUGUCAACGCGCUCCUUUUUAACAAAAUCAACAAAAAUUCAACACAAUGUUAUUUCCAUCCUUUUGUUGUCUUAUUAGAAACGUGUAUGUUAACUUUCCUCCUUUUAUAAAUGGGGCAUGUUCUAAUUAACCAUUUGUAUGGUUGUUUUUAGUGCUCAAAUGGUCACAUUGCAGCCCCGGGGAGGUAUUUUCAAAACGCUGCUCUGUCAUUUUAGGAUCACCCUGAUUGUUGGAAGCACCUUUGCUUUUGUUUUUGUUUUGUUUUUGUUUUGCUGAGACGGGGUCUAGCUCUGCCGCCUAAUCAGGCUCACUGUGGCUUCAAAACUCCUGGCUCAAGCAAUCCUCCCGCCUCAGCCUCCCAAGUAGCU
RNAcentral lists this long non-coding RNA (677 nucleotides) under Homo sapiens (human). Its description in RNAcentral is "HSALNT0023376". Lineage: Eukaryota; Metazoa; Chordata; Mammalia; Primates; Hominidae. The record is from RNAcentral.